UUGUUUUGUUUAUUUAGAAAGAUGGUUUUAUAAAUUUUGUGUUAGAAUUUUUUUUAAGGUUGUUUUAGUUUUAUUUUUUUUGUUGUUUUAUAUAUGUUUUUAUAUAUAUAAAUAUUAUUUGUUGGAUUUUGGAAGGUAUUUGAGUUUGUGAUUUUUGGUUUAAAGAGUAUUGUUUGUAUUAUUUUUUAUUUUGGUGGUGAGAGAAAGAAAGGGUUAAGUUUAG
This 223-nucleotide unclassified non-coding RNA is filed under the name Hevea brasiliensis (rubber tree). Lineage: Eukaryota; Viridiplantae; Streptophyta; Magnoliopsida; Malpighiales; Euphorbiaceae. The record is from RNAcentral.